This 668-nucleotide long non-coding RNA is filed under the name Lathyrus oleraceus (garden pea). Its description in RNAcentral is "Pisum sativum (pea) long non-coding RNA (PSAT_LNC033286)". Lineage: Eukaryota; Viridiplantae; Streptophyta; Magnoliopsida; Fabales; Fabaceae. The record is from RNAcentral.
AAGCAUGUUUUAAUCUCAUUUUGAUCAAGAGUAUCUCAAUGCUUUGUUGCUUACUUCUCAAGAAAAGUCAAAGGUUCAUGUGUUUAUUUCCAUGCCUUCUUCAAUAAGUUACCUUAAACUUUGAGCAAUUUGAUUAAAAUACAUUCAAGUACACAUUAUUUUGAUUUCAUAUGAUCAUGCAUGUACCUUUAAAUGCAAGGAAAGUCCAAGUGCACAAGUUUAUUCCAAGAGGUUUGACCAAAAAAGUCAACAAUUGAAGUCAAAGUUCAAAGGAUCACAACUCCUUCAAUUCUCAGAAUUUUUGAAUGAUUCUUUUUUUCAUAUUAUUUUUCUCAAUAUACUCUAUAACUUCUCUUUACAUGACAAGGUCCAAUUAUGCAUAGAGGAUCAUCAAAAGUUUGGAGACAUUAUAGGUCAUUUGUGGACUUAGUGAAAUUUGACCUAUUUUCAAGUGACUUUUCUACACUUUCAAGGAUUAUAACUUCUUAGAUUUUCAAUAUUUGAGGCUGAUUAUUUUUUCACAAUAUCAUUUGUGAUGCACUCUACAACUUUUCUUCAAGGAUCAAAGUCAAAUUAUGCUUGGAAGGCCAUGGAUCCUUUGAGACAUUAUAGGUCAUUUUCAGUCAUUUGGGACUUAGAAUUUUCUAAGUUACAUUACCAGAUUUUCG